AGAAUCAACGCUGGCGGCGUGCCUAACACAUGCAAGUCGCACGAGAAAGGGGAGCAAUCCCUGAGUAAAGUGGCGCACGGGUGAGUAACACGUGAAUAAUCUACCUCCGAGUGGGGAAUAACUGAGAGAAAUCUUAGCUAAUACCGCAUAACACUUACGAGUCAAAGCAGCAAUGCGCUUGGAGAGGAGUUCGCGGCCGAUUAGUUAGUUGCGGGGUAAUGGCCCACCAAGACGAUGAUCGGUA
Molecule: ribosomal RNA, 244 nt
Filed under: uncultured bacterium
Lineage: Bacteria
Description: partial small subunit ribosomal RNA
Rfam family: Bacterial small subunit ribosomal RNA
Source: RNAcentral